CAUCAAUCACAUACUCUCUGUAUUGCAAAGAAAGAGGUUUAAAAUGAUAGUAAUCACUUGUGAUAAAAGGUGAUUAUGAUUGAAAAGGAGAAUGCUGCUUUGAUCAAUCAUUUAGCCAAUAGUCUAAAUGGCCUUAAAAAAAGAUUUGACCUUUUUCCAGAAGAUACGGAUGUGGCUCAGUGGCUCUGGCUCUGAACAAAGUCUACAGGAACAAGACAAUGGUGCUGCUUAAAGAAGUGGAGAGGUUACGGUUUUUUUAUCAAGUAAUGCCCUCUCGUUCGUUUACUUUUUUUUUGCCUACUUUCUUUGUUCUACUGAUUCGUUUUUUGUGCUGGCGGUUUCUCAAAUUCUUCUCAACCAUUUUCUUACAAAAAUUAUCCAAUUAACCAAGGGUUUAGCGGUGAAAAUUCCACAAAGACAACCUUUGACGGUUUGCCAAGAGCGCACCCAACCAUCACAGGCAAGUUGAUGAUGUAAAACUUGUUUGGAUUUGGGAAAAACAAUUCUAAUUUUUCGUUGUGGUGUACUGGUGAUUUUCAUUUUAAGUUGUUUACGUUCCCUUUGAUUACCAACUUGUUCCACACGGCUGACACUUGUUUCAUUGAAGAUUUCCUCGCCCGAUAUUGCAUGGGUUGUGCACACUGGGUUUUU
This is a non-coding RNA of Camelina sativa (false flax), 651 nucleotides long. NCBI's taxonomy places the organism in Eukaryota, Viridiplantae, Streptophyta, Magnoliopsida, Brassicales, Brassicaceae. The record is from RefSeq and is a predicted model, not a curated record.